CGGUAGUGUGGUAACAGGGAACCCAACAGGGGCAGGUGUAAUUGCAGGGUCAUGUAAUGUAAACAUUAAAGGAGUGGAUUUCUUGUGCUGGGGCAAUUGGAUCGACUCCAGGCCUUUAGCGACCAGGAGGAGAGUAUCCAUGGGAAUUAUCCUGAAUUCGGGACGGGACAGGACCAGGCCUUUCCUUAUAGGUUCUUUAAGGCCUGCAACGAAAGCGGCUGAUAGCAUCUGGGUGUGGGCCUUAUUACAUGUAUUGAAACCCAGAUCGGAAAAGGUUUGAGUUAACCUGGAAUGAAAUCUUUCAACCGUUUCUGAUUUUUCUUGAACAAUAUCAGCAAUAGAAGUAGCCUGAUCAGUCAACUUAUCUUGAGCCCAUGCACGGAGUUGUUCACAAAAUGUGAUACCAGACUGAUAAUCCGUGUCUGUAGUGAGACGGGCAUCAUCAAAGCUCUUUUCCAUUAUGGGCCAGUAAGCAUCCCCUGCCUUAAUUUCACACAGACUAAACAAAUCACGCCAUGCUGCAGAGUAAGUU
Pelobates cultripes (western spadefoot toad) is the source of this 532-nucleotide non-coding RNA. The record is from the annotation of a GenBank genome assembly. NCBI's taxonomy places the organism in Eukaryota, Metazoa, Chordata, Amphibia, Anura, Pelobatidae.